GUGCUCACUUUGGGCAGCACAUACACUUAAACUGAAACAAUACAGAGAUCUGCAUGUCCCUGCACAAACAUGACAUGAAAAUUUGUGAAGUGUUCCAUAUUUUU
This is a small nuclear RNA of Phyllostomus discolor (pale spear-nosed bat), 104 nucleotides long. The record is from RefSeq and is a predicted model, not a curated record. Lineage: Eukaryota; Metazoa; Chordata; Mammalia; Chiroptera; Phyllostomidae.